CGGCGAUAGAGAUUGGCCAUAUCGCGGCUCCUUCUGGCCUCCGCCAGCGGAGGCAGCGCAGACUGGAGGAGGGAGGAGCACGUGGCUGCUGAAUCGCACGGUUGGAAAGGGGGAUCCCUGAGGGUCAUCUAGUCUGACCCGCUGCAGUGCAGGAAGAACUGGGUAGAGUAACACUGGCAAAAGGGGCGGAGCAAGGCUACCUAUAUAUAAAAGAGUGUGUGUGUGUAUGUGUGUGUCUCUCUCUCUCUCUGUGUUAGUUACAAUGUGCUUUUAUUAAUUCUUUCCCAACCACCAGGGCUAGCCCAGGACAUUUUGGCACCAGAGGUGAACCACAAAGUGGUGCUCUCCUCCCUGCCAGGGAAGAAAGGAGGAGUGAAGAUCUACAUCAGGAUCUGCCACCCCUGUGGAUCCUUUUUGCCUGAGGCGUUGCCUCACCUUGCCUUAUAGGUGGGCCGGCUGGCCCUGACAACCAGAACCCGUUUGGAGCAAAAUCAGAACGGCCUUGAACAAAAUCUUCCAAGCGUCGGACAUCUUUUUAAAAAUUAAAUAAAUAAAAACUCUGCAUUCAUGAUGACUUGC
Molecule: non-coding RNA, 579 nt
Organism: Podarcis lilfordi (Lilford's wall lizard)
Lineage: Eukaryota; Metazoa; Chordata; Lepidosauria; Squamata; Lacertidae
Source: the annotation of a GenBank genome assembly